GCCAGACUCCUACGGGAGGCAGCAGUGGGGGAUAUUGCACAAUGGGGGGAACCCUGAUGCAGCGACGCCGCGUGGGUGAAGGAGUGCUUCGGCAUGUAAAGCCCUAUCGGCAGGGAAGAAGCAAGACGGUACCUGACUAAGAAGCCCCGGCUAACUACGUGCCAGCAGCCGCGGUAAUACGUAUGGUGCAAGCGUUAUCCGGAUUUACUGGGUGUAAAGGGAGCGCAGGCGGCGCGUUAAGCCUGGUGUGAAAGCCCGCGGCCCAACCGCGGGACUGCAUUGGGAACUGGCGCGCUGGAGUGCCGGAGGGGUAGGCGGAAUUCCUAGUGUAGCGGUGAAAUGCGUAGAUAUUAGGAGGAACACCAGUGGCGAAGGCGGCCUACUGGACGGUGACUGACGCUGAGGUUCGAAAGCGUGGGGAGCAAACAGGAUUAGAUACCCCAGUA
Molecule: ribosomal RNA, 446 nt
Filed under: uncultured bacterium
Lineage: Bacteria
Description: partial 16S ribosomal RNA
Rfam family: Bacterial small subunit ribosomal RNA
Source: RNAcentral